This 506-nucleotide ribosomal RNA is filed under the name uncultured bacterium. RNAcentral's name for it is "partial 16S ribosomal RNA". It matches the Rfam family "Bacterial small subunit ribosomal RNA", at positions 28 to 508 of the family's 1533-position model. The record is from RNAcentral.
GACGAACGCUGGCGGCGUGCCUAAUACAUGCAAGUAGAACGCACGGUUUAUACCGUAGCUUGCUACACCAUAGACUGUGAGUUGCGAACGGGUGAGUAACGCGUAGGUAACCUGCCUGGUAGCGGGGGAUAACUAUUGGAAACGAUAGCUAAUACCGCAUAAUAUUAAUUAUUGCAUGAUAAUUAAUUGAAAGGUGCAAUUGCACCACUACCAGAUGGACCUGCGUUGUAUUAGCUAGUAGGUGAGGUAACGGCUCACCUAGGCGACGAUACAUAGCCGACCUGAGAGGGUGAUCGGCCACACUGGGACUGAGACACGGCCCAGACUCCUACGGGAGGCAGCAGUAGGGAAUCUUCGGCAAUGGACGAAAGUCUGACCGAGCAACGCCGCGUGAGUGAAGAAGGUUUUCGGAUCGUAAAGCUCUGUUGUAAGAGAAGAACGGGUGUGAGAGUGGAAAGUUCACACUGUGACGGUAUCUUACCAGAAAGGGACGGCUAACUACGUGC